Molecule: ribosomal RNA, 748 nt
Filed under: uncultured bacterium
Lineage: Bacteria
Description: bacterial SSU rRNA
Rfam family: Bacterial small subunit ribosomal RNA
Source: RNAcentral
AGAGUUUGAUCAUGGCUCAGGAUGAACGCUGGCGGUAUGCCUUAUACAUGCAAGUCGUACGAGAGUUUUUAACUCUAGUGGCGGACGGGUGAGUAACACGUAAGAAUUUGCCUUUAGGAGGGGGACAACAACUGGAAACGGUUGCUAAUACCCCAUAUGCUUUCGAGUGAAAUGGAUUUCCGCCUAAAGAGAAGCUUGCGGCUGAUUAGCUUGUUGGUAGGGUAAUGGCCUACCAAGGCGACGAUCAGUAUCUGGUUUGAGAGGACGAUCAGACACACUGGAACUGAGACACGGUCCAGACUCCUACGGGAGGCAGCAGUAGGGAAUUUUCCGCAAUGGGCGAAAGCCUGACGGAGCAAUACCGCGUGAGGGAUGACUGCCUAUGGGUUGUAAACCUCUUUUUUCAGGGAGGAAUAAAUGACGUGUACCUGAAGAAUAAGCAUCGGCUAACUCCGUGCCAGCAGCCGCGGUAAGACGGAGGAUGCAAGUGUUAUCCGGAAUCACUGGGCGUAAAGCGUCUGUAGGUGGCUCGACAAGUCAACUGUUAAAUCUUGAAGCUCAACUUCGAAAUCGCAGUCGAAACUAUCGAACUAGAGUAUAGUAGAGGUAAAGGGAAUUUCCAGUGGAGCGGUGAAAUGCGUAGAGAUUGGAAAGAACACCGAUGGCGAAGGCACUUUACUGGGCUAUUACUGACACUCAGAGACGAAAGCUAGGGUAGCAAAUGGGAUUAGAUACCCCAGUAGUCCUA